Molecule: ribosomal RNA, 433 nt
Filed under: uncultured bacterium
Lineage: Bacteria
Description: partial 16S ribosomal RNA
Rfam family: Bacterial small subunit ribosomal RNA
Source: RNAcentral
AGCGAACGCUGGCGGCAGGCCUAACACAUGCAAGUCGAACGAACUCUUCGGAGUUAGUGGCGGACGGGUGAGUACCACGUGGGAACGUGCCUUUUGGUUCGGAAUAACUCAGGGAAACUUGUGCUAAUACCGAAUGUGCCCUUCGGGGGAAAGAUUUAUCGCCAUUAGAGCGGCCCGCGUCUGAUUAGCUAGUUGGUGAGGUAACGGCUCACCAAGGCGACGAUCAGUAGCUGGUCUGAGAGGAUGACCAGCCACACUGGGACUGAGACACGGCCCAGACUCCUACGGAGGGCAGCAGUGGGGAAUCUUGCGCAAUGGGCGAAAGCCUGACGCAGCCAUGCCGCGUGAAUGAUGAAGGUCUUAGGAUUGUAAAAUUCUUUCACCGGGGACGAUAAUGACGGUACCCGGAGAAGAAGCCCCGGCUAACUUCGUG